Molecule: long non-coding RNA, 303 nt
Filed under: Pelobates cultripes (western spadefoot toad)
Lineage: Eukaryota; Metazoa; Chordata; Amphibia; Anura; Pelobatidae
Source: RNAcentral
GAUUUGCUCUAACUGUAAAAAAAAAAACCAAAACCUUUUCUUUGCCUUAGAUGAAAUCUCCUUUAUUCCAGCCUAAAUGUGUGACCUCAUGUCCUAUGUAUAGCCCUGUUUAUGAAUAGAUUUCCAGAUAAUGGUUUGUACUGGCCCCGAAUAUAUUUGUAUAAUGUUAUCAUAUCCCCUCUCAGGCAUCGUUUUUCCAAACUAAAGAGAUUUAAAUGUUUUUACCUUUCUUCAUAACUAAAAUGCUCCAUUCCUUUUAUCAAUUUUGUAGCUCGUCUCUGCACUUUUUCUAGUGCCAUGAUA